AUGGAUCAGCUGGCUCUGCUCGCGACGGAGUUCGGAGAUUCGUCCGACUUCGAGGUCGACGGCAUCAACGAGAACGAUGUCAGCGACGAGGAGAUUGAGCCGGAGGAGCUGGCCCGGCGAAUGUGGAAGGACAGGGUCAGGCUCAGGAGGAUCAAGGAGAGGCAGCAGAGGCUAGCCUUGCAGCAGGCUGAACUGGAGCUGGAGAAGUCCAAGCCCAAGCAGAUAUCCGACCAGGCCAUGCGCAAGAAGAUGGCCAGGGCGCACGACGGGAUCCUCAAGUACAUGCUCAAGCUGAUGGAGGUGUGCAAUGCCCGUGGGUUUGUCUAUGGGAUCAUCCCUGAGAAAGGGAAGCCUGUGAGUGGUGCGUCGGAUAAUAUUAGAGCUUGGUGGAAGGAGAAGGUUAAGUUUGAUAAGAAUGGUCCGGCAGCGAUUGCAAAGUACGAGGCCGAGCACUUGGUGGAUGCUGAUGCUCAGAGUAGCGUUGUCAAGAACGAGCACAGCUUGAUGGAUCUCCAAGACGCCACUCUGGGCUCACUGCUUUCAUCAUUGAUGCAGCACUGUAAUCCACCGCAGCGCAAGUACCCCCUGGAGAAGGGCACUCCGCCCCCAUGGUGGCCUGCGGGGAAUGAAGAGUGGUGGGCUGCCUUGGGCCUUCCAAGGGGACAGAUUGCUCCUUACAAAAAACCUCAUGACCUUAAGAAGGUUUGGAAGGUCGGGGUGCUUACAUGUGUUAUUAAGCACAUGUCCCCUAACUUUGAUAAGAUCAGAAACCAUGUUCGCAAAUCCAAAAUCUUGCAGGAUAAAAUGACUGCAAAGGAGAGCCUGAUUUGGUUGGGAGUCCUACAGAGAGAGGAAAGACUUGUGCACGGUAUUGACAAUGGCGUCUCAGAGAUUACUCACCGCAGUGCUCCAGAAGACAGAAAUGGAACUAGGAACGCACACAGCAGCAGUAAUGAGUAUGAUGUUGAUGGUUUUGAGGAGGCUCCUCUUUCAAUAUCAUCUAAAGAUGAUGAGCAAGGUCUUUCUCCAGCUGCACAAUCCAGCGAGGAGCAUGUCUCCAGAAGAGACAGAGAAAGGGCGAACACUAAACAUCUUUAUCAGGCUGUUGUUCUUAAGGAAGGAACAAAAAAACAACCACCAAAGAGAAAAAGAGCACGUCACAGUUCCGUUGCUGUUGAGCAGGAGGUACAAAGGACUGAUGAUGCACCAGAAAAUCCAGGAAAUCUGAUUCCCGAUAUGAACCGACUGGACCAAGUAGAGAUUCCAGGCAUGGCUAACCACCAGAUUACAAGCUUCAAUCAGAUGGCCGUUACAAGUGAAGCUUUACAACACAGAGGAAAUGCUCAAGGGCAUGUUUAUCUUCCUGGGUCUGGGGUUAAUGGCUUUGAUAAUGCCCAACCUGUGGAUGCUACUCCUGUAAGCAUAUAUCAGCCUGUACUUUAUGGAAGUAGUGAUAAUGCCAGGUCAAAGUCUGGAAGCCCCUUUCCACUGCAUGCCAAUUCUGGUUUUAAUAGUUUUCCCAGUAACUAUCAGACUUUACCUCCGAAACAAUCAGUGCCAUUACCUAUGAUGGAUCAUCAUGUGGUUCCCAUGGGUAUCAGGGCACCAGCUGACAACAGUCCUUAUGGUGAUCAUGUGAUUGGUGGUGGAAGUUCAACUUCUGUCCCUGGAGAUAUGCAACACCUCGUAGAUUUUCCAUUCUACGGUGAGCAAGAUAAGUUUGUUGGCAGUUCUUUUGAGGGGUUACCUUUGGACUAUAUCAGUAUGAGCAGCCCGAUCCCAGAUAUUGAUGAUUUGCUGCUGCAUGAUGAUGAUUUAAUGGAAUACCUGGGAACAUAA
Molecule: ribosomal RNA, 1839 nt
Filed under: Triticum aestivum (bread wheat)
Lineage: Eukaryota; Viridiplantae; Streptophyta; Magnoliopsida; Poales; Poaceae
Description: partial small subunit ribosomal RNA
Source: RNAcentral